Molecule: long non-coding RNA, 432 nt
Organism: Dunckerocampus dactyliophorus (ringed pipefish)
Lineage: Eukaryota; Metazoa; Chordata; Actinopteri; Syngnathiformes; Syngnathidae
Exons: 4
Source: RefSeq, a predicted model, not a curated record
CUUCAAGCUUUAAUACCGACUGAUGGUGAAAGACAGGCCAAAAGGACUUCUUUCAGAUACAUGACGCAGAGGACAAGACCCACAGAGUCUCUAUGACUAUUUUUCUCUCCUUUUCCGAGUGGCCGCGAAGAGAGAGAAGCCAUAGAUUGGAUCCGCCGUGUGUCUGAGGAGAUGGGAAAUAACAUCAGGCGUCAGGAGCAGAAAGGAGGAAGCCAGACAUGUUGGAGAACAUUUGGUGUGCAGGACACCCUGGAGAAAAACAUGUCGCUGUGGCCAAUACUCAGUCGUGGAUGCUCCUCUUCUUUCUCUUCAGAUGCCCCAGUGACACCAGGUGUUGUGUUCACUUGCAGGAAGGAUGCAGUAGAGCCCGGGCCCGCCAGCGAGAGGCGAAAAACUGCGAUUCAUUGAUACACUGAGAUACACCGGUUCGCC